UACAGCGGGGGCAAGCGUUGUUCGGAAUUACUGGGCGUAAAGCGCGCGUAGGCGGCUUUGCAAGUCGGGUGUGAAAUCCCCAGGCUUAACCUGGGAACUGCAUUCGAGACUGCAUUGCUAGAGUAUGGGAGAGGGAAGUGGAAUUUCCGGUGUAGCGGUGAAAUGCGUAGAUAUCGGAAGGAACAUCAGUGGCGAAAGCGACUUCCUGGACCAAUACUGACGCUCAUGUGCGAAAGCGUGGGGAGCAAACAGG
This 253-nucleotide ribosomal RNA is filed under the name uncultured bacterium. RNAcentral describes it as "partial 16S ribosomal RNA". It matches the Rfam family "Bacterial small subunit ribosomal RNA", at positions 524 to 776 of the family's 1533-position model. The record is from RNAcentral.